UUUCCCUGCAUGUCUGUAUCCAUGGUGGACGCAGAGGGAAAGUGCUUUGAGAAUCCAGCAUAUGAAGUUGGAGACAAGCUUGAAUCCAAAAGUGUUCCGACAGCCCCCUUCGCAACUGACAAGGCAAACAAGAUGAACAUUGAUAAUCCGCUGUAUUCUGAAGAGGGUACUCCCUCUCCAAGCAAGGAGGCUUUUGAAAUGCCCCAAACACACUCAAAUACUGACGAUAUUCAGGUGACAUCUACUCAUCCUGCCUCCUCCAGCACACAGUUCGAACCAAUUGGAGAUUACAGUCUUGGUGCAUUCCAAAAUCCCACAUACACGGACGAAGCUCCUCCCUAUUCCAGCGUUUGACGGGACUGCUGAUUGACCCAAACCAAAAAACUUGACUUCCAUUUUUUCAAGAUGUCUGGAGUAAAAUCACAGCAACAACAGACUUGCAGCAAAUCAUCAACAACAGCGUGUACAUGUUUAGUAAUUACAGAAUUUGUGUAAAAAAAAAAAGAUCUUUUUGAUGUGAAAAAACCUAGAUGAUGCUUAAUGACUUUUGAAACAUGUUCACAUUAUUUUGCAUCUUUUAAAAUUUUUGAUUAUAAAAAGUAAACUUGCUGUUAUCAUGAUCGUGUUUUUCAUUACAUCACCUCUCAUCCACAAACACAUACCCUUGUCUUUUUGGUGGGUCACAUGAGUCUGGGAACAUUAAAAUCACUCCGACAUCAGCAGAGGAAGAUCAUAAAAGUUGGAACUAAGCAGAUUGUGGGAAUGAGAAGUCGAUAAGUAGACAAAGGAAAAAUGAUGAACUAUGUGUAACCAGUGUUUGGUGCUUUAGGAUGAUUCACAGCAUGUUUCCUCAUUAGGGAUCUGUGAGUAUCAGCCAUAGUGAUGGCGUUCAGAGAAUGUCGGAAAUGUUAUCCAUACAGCAACUUUUGGGCCAGACCAGAAAUGUUAGACAGAAUUUUCUCUCUUUUUUUUCCCCUGUUUGUUUGUUUAUUUGUUUAUUAAGCCAAAUAUACACAGAAAACAAUUCUGCAAAUGACGUGAUGUUAACAUGUGAACAUUAACAUGAAAGAACCCAUACAUUACACAAUCUUCAUUUCUGUGUUCCAACUGAAAACAAAAUUAUUCCAAUUCUGUACAGAACUGAUUAUUUCAAAAUCCAGUAAUUAUCCAGCGAAUUUCACAUAGUUAGGCAUCAUCAUCAAAAUUCAUUAUAUGUAGUAAAAUAUUUUAUUCCAUAAAUGUAAAUCUAAAUCUAAAGUUAAUUUGCUGCAGUUCAACUGUUGAAUUUCAGUGCCUAUAUUUCUGUUGUGACUUUGAACAAAUGAAUAUGAGUAAUUGUUUUUAAUCAAAUAAAAACAAAUUAAAAUAUAUAUAUAUAUAUGUA
This 1384-nucleotide long non-coding RNA is filed under the name Gouania willdenowi (blunt-snouted clingfish). Its description in RNAcentral is "lncRNA (ENSGWIG00000004494.1)". Lineage: Eukaryota; Metazoa; Chordata; Actinopteri; Blenniiformes; Gobiesocidae. The record is from RNAcentral.